RNAcentral lists this long non-coding RNA (437 nucleotides) under Eucalyptus grandis. Its description in RNAcentral is "long non-coding RNA (EGRA_LNC005615)". The record is from RNAcentral. Lineage: Eukaryota; Viridiplantae; Streptophyta; Magnoliopsida; Myrtales; Myrtaceae.
UAUCAAACUCAUGGGUUAUGACCAUGCCAUGCUUGGAUUCGCUCCUUACGGUCCAUACUGGCGUGGUAUGAGGAAGCUCGCCGUGGUUGAGCUCCUCUCAAACCACCGGCUCGAUUCGUUCAAGCAUGUGAGAGAUGCAGAAACCAAUCUUUUCGUCAAGGGGUUGUACGAGAAAUGGUUAAGCAACGGUGAAAACCCAGUUACAGUGGAGAUGGAGAAGGAUUUUGGGCAUGUGGCUAUGAAUAUAACGGUGAGGAUGGUCGCAGGAAAACGUUAUCUGAGUGGCAAGUGGCUAUGAAUAUAACGGUGAGGAUGGUCGCAGGAAAACGUUAUCUGAGUGGCAACGAAGGGGAUGAAGAGGAGUCAUCAAGAUGCCGCAAAGCUCUGGGAGAUUUCUCCCAUCUUGUGGGGGAAUUUAUGGUCUCAGAUGCAAUACC